UUAGCGAAUAACAACCUUCCUGCUGACAUACAGAAGUUGCGAUGCCGUGCUUGUUAUGAAGCCUUGCGGUUUGCACCUCAAAUUGAAGCUAUGGGAAAGCUUUUGGUGGAUCGUAUGAGAUCUUAUGGUCCUUACAUUGCUCUACAUUUACGGUAUGAGAAGGAUAUGCUCUCAUUCAGUGGAUGCACACAUGAUUUGUCUCCUGCCGAAGCUGAUGAGCUAAGGAUGAUUAGGGAGAACACAUCUUACUGGAAAGUAAAAAACAUCGAUCCUAAGGAACAAAGAUCCAAGGGGUAUUGCCCCCUAACUCCAAAAGAGGUUGGAAUUUUUCUAAACGCUCUUGGAUACCCAUCAAAUACUCCUAUAUACAUAGCUGCGGGUGACAUUUAUGGGGGUGAAUCUCACAUGUCUGAUCUCCAACUGCGAUAUCCCUUGUUAAUGAGGAAGGAAUUUUUGGCAUCUUCUAAGGAGCUUGAACCUUUUGUCCAUCAUGCAUCUCAAAUGGCUGCUCUGGACUACAUUGUAUCUGUUGAAAGUGAUGUAUUUAUAUCCUCAUAUUCUGGAAACAUGGCUAGGGCAGUUGAAG
RNAcentral lists this unclassified non-coding RNA (586 nucleotides) under Hevea brasiliensis (rubber tree). The record is from RNAcentral. Lineage: Eukaryota; Viridiplantae; Streptophyta; Magnoliopsida; Malpighiales; Euphorbiaceae.